UAGGGAAUCUUCCGCAAUGGACGAAAGUCUGACGGAGCAACGCCGCGUGAGUGAUGAAGGUUUUCGGAUCGUAAAACUCUGUUGUUAGGGAAGAACAAGUGCGAGAGUAACUGCUCGCACCUUGACGGUACCUAACCAGAAAGCCACGGCUAACUACGUGCCAGCAGCCGCGGUAAUACGUAGGUGGCAAGCGUUGUCCGGAAUUAUUGGGCGUAAAGCGCGCGCAGGCGGUUUCUUAAGUCUGAUGUGAAAGCCCCCGGCUCAACCGGGGAGGGUCAUUGGAAACUGGGAAACUUGAGUGCAGAAGAGGAGAGUGGAAUUCCACGUGUAGCGGUGAAAUGCGUAGAGAUGUGGAGGAACACCAGGUGGCGAAGGCGACUCUCUGGUCUGUAACUGACGCUGAGGCGACGAAAGCGGUGGGGAGCGAACAGGAUUAGACUACCCGUGGUACGUCCACGGA
RNAcentral lists this ribosomal RNA (460 nucleotides) under uncultured Bacillota bacterium. RNAcentral describes it as "bacterial SSU rRNA". It matches the Rfam family "Bacterial small subunit ribosomal RNA", at positions 355 to 801 of the family's 1533-position model. The record is from RNAcentral. Lineage: Bacteria; Bacillati; Bacillota.